UCCUCCAAAGUGGAACUGGACUUACCAAUUUCAGGUCAAGGACCAAAUUGGAAGUUUCUUUUAUUUCCCUUCUCUGCAUUUUCAGAGAGCAUCAGGUGGUUUUGGUGGAAUUACUAUUAAUAACAGGGAGGAAAUCCCAAUUCCUUUUGAUUUUCCAUAUGGUGAUAUAACUAUUAUGAUUGGUGAUUGGUACACAAGAAAUCACACGUCUUUGAGGAGCACUCUUCUUGCUGGCAAAGAUCUAGGAAAACCAGAUGGUGUUUUAAUUAAUGGGAAAGGUCCUUACAGAUAUAACGAUACUAUUGUGCCUGAUGGCAUUGACUAUGAAACAAUCACUGUCCAUCCAGGCAAAACCUAUCGAAUUCGUGUAAGCAAUGUAGGAAUAUCAACCAGCUUGAACUUCAGAAUUCAAAAUCAUAACUUACUUUUGGCAGAAGCAGAGGGAUCAUACACUGUGCAGCAAAAUUAUACUAGCUUAGAUAUACAUGUUGGACAAUCUUACUCUUUUUUGGUAUCCAUGGAUCAGAAUGCAAGUUCUG
Molecule: unclassified non-coding RNA, 539 nt
Filed under: Hevea brasiliensis (rubber tree)
Lineage: Eukaryota; Viridiplantae; Streptophyta; Magnoliopsida; Malpighiales; Euphorbiaceae
Source: RNAcentral